UACGUAGGGGGCAAGCGUUAUCCGGAUUUACUGGGUGUAAAGGGGGCGCAGACGGCGAUGCAAGCCAGGAGUGAAAACCCGGGGCCCAACCCCGGGAGUGCAUUUGAAACUGCCAUGCUGGAGUGCCGGAGAGGUAAGCGGAAUUCCUAGUGUAGCGGUGAAAUGCGUAGAUAUUAGGAGGAACACCAGAGGCGAAGGCGACUCACUGGACUGUAACUGACGCUGAGGCUCGAAAGCGUGGGGAGCAAACAGG
Molecule: ribosomal RNA, 253 nt
Filed under: uncultured Eubacteriales bacterium
Lineage: Bacteria; Bacillati; Bacillota; Clostridia; Eubacteriales
Description: uncultured Clostridiales bacterium partial 16S ribosomal RNA
Rfam family: Bacterial small subunit ribosomal RNA
Source: RNAcentral